This is a long non-coding RNA of Sphaerodactylus townsendi, 465 nucleotides long. RefSeq lists it as uncharacterized. Lineage: Eukaryota; Metazoa; Chordata; Lepidosauria; Squamata; Sphaerodactylidae. The transcript is spliced from 3 exons. The record is from RefSeq and is a predicted model, not a curated record.
GAUUCUUAAGUUACAUGCCUAAGAAAGCUUUCUGUGCUUGAGGUCCUAGAAGUUCUGUGCCACCAACGAGAAUAGACAAUACUGACUUGAUACAUCUCCCAUACAACACCCUUAUUUGGAAGAUGGAAGGGCAAAUAGGAAUUUUCAACAAGAUACCUGCAACAAAGAAUUUAAAACAAAGGGCGAAAAAUGUUAAAUGUUUUAUAAGGAAUUUAUUUGGAAUUGACAAGCAGAGAAAUGUAACAAGAAGGAUACAGUUUGAUCAAAUCACAGACCGUGGCAAAAAUUUCUGAUAGAUGGGAAUCUGUACCUGCCCUUUCACCUAAAGACCUCUGGGCUAAGCUUCCUUGUGAACCUGAAAGUCUGCACAAUCAACAACCAUAUGCAUGGUAAUCUCCCUGAACAAAGGCAAAACAGCAUAUAAUAUUGUUACUGGGACAGGAGUAUCUGCCCUUAACUGUGGUG